UAGAUGUUGAUCCUGUAAGCUGCAUGCCUCUGUCCAGUAAUGAAUUAGCUGUGAGACCCUGCUUAACAAUCUUAAAAGUAGGAACAGAAAGUUGCUCAAAAGACGAUGAACUUUCUUCACUUGUUGGUGUGUCAAGGUCUAAAGGGCGAUGUAAUGAGGAUUUUGAAGUUCUUUUGUUAGUUGGAUGCUUUACUGACCAAUUAAUCACCUGGAACUGCGUAAGAUAGUUUUGGUAACAAGCCAUUACAGGCUGUUGGGAUGUUAUUUGUUCACUUUCUACAGUCUUCUCAGAUUCCAUGACAUAAAUGUUUUCAAUAUGCUCAUCCUCCCCUCCCAGAGCUGAAACAAAUGAAGUCUGUGAAGGAUGAGUCUUAAUUGGCAACGUUUUAACAUCCUGAUUAAUUUCGCCAUGGACAGAACUUGUUAAGGGUCCUUCCACACUGUGAUAAAUAGACCCUCUGCUGUACUCAAUUUUCUGAGCUUGCUUUUUUCUCUUCUUUCUCCCUGGGUAAGUUCCUGGACCUUCAUCACUACUAAUU
This 539-nucleotide long non-coding RNA is filed under the name Gallus gallus (chicken). The record is from RNAcentral. Lineage: Eukaryota; Metazoa; Chordata; Aves; Galliformes; Phasianidae.